Molecule: ribosomal RNA, 465 nt
Filed under: uncultured bacterium
Lineage: Bacteria
Description: partial 16S ribosomal RNA
Rfam family: Bacterial small subunit ribosomal RNA
Source: RNAcentral
CCUACGGGUGGCAGCAGUAGGGAAUCUUCCACAAUGGGCGAAAGCCUGAUGGAGCAACGCCGCGUGGGUGAAGACGGUCUUCGGAUCGUAAAACCCUGUUUUUGGAGAAGAAAGUGCGUGCGCGUAACUGUUCACGUUUCGACGUUAUCUAACCAGAACGCCACGGCUAACUACGGGCCAGCAGCCGCGGUAAUACGUAGGUGGCAAGCGUUAUCCGGAUUUAUUUGGCGUAAAGGGAACGGAGGCGGUCUUUUAAGUCUGAUGUGAAAGCCUUCGGCUUAACCGGAGUAGUGCAUUGGAAACUGGGAGACUUGAGUGCAGAUGAGGAGAGUGGAACUCCAGGUGUAGCGGUGAAAUGCGUAGAUAUAUGGAAGAACACCAGUGGCGAAGGCGGCUCUCUGGUCUGUAACUGACGCUGAGGUUCGAAAGCGUGGGUAGCAAACAGGAUUAGAUACCCUAGUAGUC